CGAGAGUUUUGACUCAAGUGGCGGACGGGUGAGUAACACGUAAGAAUUUGCCUUUAGGAGGGGGACAACAGCUGGAAACGGCUGCUAAUACCCCAUAUGCUUUCGAGUGAAAUGGAUUUUUCCGCCUAGAGAGAAGCUUGCGGCUGAUUAGCUUGUUGGUAAGGUAAUGGCUUACCAAGGCGACGAUCAGUAUCUGGUUUGAGAGGACGAUCAGACACACUGGAACUGAGACACGGUCCAGACUCCUACGGGAGGCAGCAGUGGGGAAUUUUCCGCAAUGGGCGAAAGCCUGACGGAGCAAUACCGCGUGAGGGAUGACGGCCUAUGGGUUGUAAACCUCUUUUUUCAGGGAGGAAACAAAUGACGUUACCUGAAGAAUAAGCAUCGGCUAACUCCGUGCCAGCAGCCGCGGUAAGACGGAGGAUGCAAGUGUUAUCCGGAAUCACUGGGCGUAAAGCGUCUGUAGGUGGUUGAAUAAGUCAACUGUUAAAUCUUGAGGCUCAACCUCAAAACCGCAGUCGAAACUAUUCGACUAGAGUAUAGUAGGGGUAAAGGGAAUUUCCAGUGGAGCGGUGAAAUGCGUAGAGAUUGGAAAGAACACCGAUGGCGAAGGCACUUUACUGGGCUAUUACUAACACUGAGAGACGAAAGCUAGGGUAGCAAAUGGGAUUAGAUACCCCAGUAGUCCUAGCCGUAAACAAUGGAUACUAGAUGUUGAACAGAUCGACCUGUGCAGUAUUAAAGCUAACGCGUUAAGUAUCCCGCCUGGAGUAUGCUCGCAGAGUGAAACUCA
Molecule: ribosomal RNA, 793 nt
Filed under: uncultured bacterium
Lineage: Bacteria
Description: bacterial SSU rRNA
Rfam family: Bacterial small subunit ribosomal RNA
Source: RNAcentral